This 237-nucleotide ribosomal RNA is filed under the name uncultured bacterium. RNAcentral's name for it is "partial 16S ribosomal RNA". It matches the Rfam family "Bacterial small subunit ribosomal RNA", at positions 540 to 776 of the family's 1533-position model. The record is from RNAcentral.
GUUGCUCGGAAUUACUGGGCGUAAAGGGCGCGUAGGCGGACACUUAAGUCAGGGGUGAAAUCCCGGGGCUCAACCCCGGAAUUGCCUUUGAUACUGGGGGGCUGGAGACAGGCAGAGGCCAGCGGAAUUCCGGGUGUAGCGGUGGAAUGCGUAGAGAUCCGGAAGAACACCGGAGGCGAAGGCGGCUGGCUGGGCCUGAUCUGACGCUGAGGUGCGAAAGCGUGGGGAGCGAACAGG